CGGUGAAGGAGGAGCUUGCUCCUCCGGAUCAGUGGCGAACGGGUGAGUAACACGUGAGCAAUCUGCCCCUGACUCUGGGAUAACCUCGGGAAACCGAAGCUAAUACUGGAUAUGAAGCGCGAAGGCAUCUUCAGCGCUUGGAAAGAAUUUCGGUCAGGGAUGAGCUCGCGGCCUAUCAGCUUGUUGGUGAGGUAACGGCUCACCAAGGCGACGACGGGUAGCCGGCCUGAGAGGGUGACCGGCCACACUGGGACUGAGACACGGCCCAGACUCCUACGGGAGGCAGCAGUGGGGAAUAUUGCACAAUGGGCGCAAGCCUGAUGCAGCAACGCCGCGUGAGGGAUGACGGCCUUCGGGUUGUAAACCUCUUUUAGCAGGGAAGAAGCGAAAGUGACGGUACCUGCAGAAAAAGCACCGGCUAACUACGUGCCAGCAGCCGCGGUAAUACGUAGGGUGCAAGCGUUGUCCGGAAUUAUUGGGCGUAAAGAGCUCGUAGGCGGUUUGUCGCGUCUGCUGUGAAAACCCGAGGCUCAACCUCGGGCCUGCAGUGGGUACGGGCAAACUAGAGUGCGGUAGGGGAGAUUGGAAUUCCUGGUGUAGCGGUGGAAUGCGCAGAUAUCAGGAGGAACACCGAUGGCGAAGGCAGAUCUCUGGGCCGUAACUGACGCUGAGGAGCGAAAGCGUGGGGAGCGAACAGGAUUAGAUACCCUGGUAGUCCACGCCGUAAACGUUGGGAACUAGAUGUGGGGA
This 750-nucleotide ribosomal RNA is filed under the name Diaminobutyricimonas sp. RNAcentral describes it as "bacterial SSU rRNA". It matches the Rfam family "Bacterial small subunit ribosomal RNA", at positions 67 to 828 of the family's 1533-position model. The record is from RNAcentral. Lineage: Bacteria; Bacillati; Actinomycetota; Actinomycetes; Micrococcales; Microbacteriaceae.